This 2075-nucleotide unclassified non-coding RNA is filed under the name Manduca sexta (tobacco hornworm). Its description in RNAcentral is "oxysterol-binding protein-related protein 1, transcript variant X3". Lineage: Eukaryota; Metazoa; Arthropoda; Insecta; Lepidoptera; Sphingidae. The record is from RNAcentral.
AGUUAUACGUAUAUAAAUGUAAUAUUGCGACGGACCCGCCCUCAUGGAACAAUUUUUUGUGGUCUACUCUUAAAAGAACCUCUUGCAUACUAUUUAUUUAUUUCGUCACGAUUUUGUCGAUCAAAUCAAGUUGUGAUUCCGUUCAACCGUUGGUCAUUCCGCAUUUCUUACUUGAUUACCUUGGCCGUGAGUUCAUGACGAAAGAGUUCUAUAAUUAUACAGGCGCAUUUGCACAUUGGUGCCUACCAGCAAAUGUAAGCCUUCUUGAAAAACUUUUAUAAAAAUUGCAAUACCCAAGAUUACGAAUACUUUUAAAGUGUAGAGAUGGCGAAAGAAGGGGCUGCGGUGGUGGAAGCCCAGGAAUCGUUACUAUAUUCGGCAAGACAUGGCGAGCUGGCCGUGGUAAAAGCUCUUCUGGAAGCCAAGGCAGAGGGAAAAUUGACGUUGAACGUGAGCUGUAAAGGUAAAAGCAAAAGUAAUUUAGGAUGGACCCCACUCCACUUGGCGACAUAUUUUGGACAUGUGGAUGUGGCAGCGGCCCUAUUAGAGGCAGGAGCGAAUGUGGAUGAGGUUAAUGACACAGGAGACACCGCGCUGCACAAGGCGUCUUUUAUUGGAAAUGAGGAUUUAGUAAUACUCCUGCUGAAAUACAAAGCAGAUGUGAACAUAAUGAACGGCGAAGGUAGGACGCCGUGCGACGUGUCCAAGAAUCGGGACGUGCAACGGCUGUUGGAGGCGGCGCAGCGUGCUGAGAGGCAUGAGAGAGAGAGCAAACUCCUCACAGCAGCCAAGGAGGGGAGGGUUGAAGAUAUACACGAGUUGCUCAGCAGCCAAAAUCCUCCAAAUAUAAACUGCGUGGACGCGCAGGGCAACACGUGUCUGCAUUGCGCCGCGUAUCGAGGCCACGCCAGGCUCGCCGUGCUGUUGCUUCAGAACGGGAUAGACACCACACUCAGGAACCAUAGCGGUCAGCUAGCAAUAGAGUUGGCGAAAGACAACGAGAUGCGUGAAGUGUUGAGCGUCCGUCCAGUGCAGCGGCUGCAGCGCACCGCCGCCAGGUUCGAGGGGCCGCUACUGAAGCGCUCGCGAUUCCUCGGAUGGAGACCUGUUUGGGCGGUGGUGCAGCGCGGCGUGCUGUCGUACCACGCGUCGCGCGCGGAGGCGGCGCGCGGCGGGCGCGUGCGCGCGCGCAAGUACCUGGACGGCGCCACGCUGCGCGCCAGCGACGCCGAGCCCGCGCUGCUGCUGCUGCACUUCAGCGACGGCGACGCGCACCGCCUCGCCGUGCCGCCCGACCAGCACGUGCGCGCCUGCAGGCAGUCGUGGAUCACAGCACUGAACGAGCACAUAGCAUACUCCGGCCACUACUUAUGGGCGGGCGCCUCGCCUGACACAGCCAAAGAGGCUACGGAGGACUUGGAAGACGAUUGCAAACCAUUAGGGUCCAUGCAGGACGCGCUGACGGCGGCCACGAACAGCCUGGCGCUGCUGGAGACGCAGCUGCGCGAGUGCUCCGCCAUCGUGGCCGCGCUCGACAAGAGCGUCAACGUCGGCAACUCGCUGCACCACUCCGCAUACAUGAGGUUCCAGCACGCGUGUGGCACCGGUUCGGAGGCUCUGUCGGCGCUGCGGCACUGCGCCGCGCUCGUGCACCAGGCGAGGGACGCGGACGUCGCCAGGCUAAACAGAGAGUUGGAGCGCAACAGGGUGUUAGAAGAAGCUCUGGCUGCAUUGGCGAGAACUCACCACGCACUCGAGAUGUCUGUAGCAGAGGAACUAAACAAGGGGAAAAGAAAGAAAAAAUCAUCAUCGACUCUCAACGAAUCAAAGGAGAAUUUCUUCGAUGUUUUUGACGGUCCGCCAUGUUAGCCAAUCGUCGUAGUAACAAUACGCCUUGUGUCAGAUUCUGACGAGGACGACACGUUGGUGACGGCGGGCCUGUCCAGCCCACUCGGAGCGCUCAGUCCGUGGGGGAGCAGCCCCGACCUCACCCGGCGGACUCCUAUAGGCAGCGUGGACGGUGACAAAACACCGACAAACGAAGAAGACCGCCAGCUCUGCCGACAAAUAUCGGG